This 216-nucleotide ribosomal RNA is filed under the name Glomeromycotina sp. RNAcentral's name for it is "partial small subunit ribosomal RNA". The stretch from base 40 to 216 matches the Rfam family "Eukaryotic small subunit ribosomal RNA", at positions 686 to 864 of the family's 1831-position model. Lineage: Eukaryota; Fungi; Glomeromycota. The record is from RNAcentral.
GGGUCAGUAGGCUGGUCGUGCCACCGGUACGUACUGGUCUCACUGAUUCCUCCUUCCUGAAGAACCGUAAUGCCGUUAAUUUGGUGUUGCGGGGAAACAGGACUGUCACUUUGAAAAAAUUAGAGUGUUUAAAGCAAGCUAACGCUUGAAUAUAUUAGCAUGGAAUAAUGAAAUAGGACGAUCGAUCCUAUUUUGUUGGUUUCUAGGAUUGACGUA